UUAUAUGUAAAAAUCGUAGUGAAAUUUUUUGUAAUAAAGUGGGCAAGUAAGAUUGGUUCUGCUCCCAAUCGUCUACAAGUUUUAAACUUUCCUCUAUGCGCGAAUGUGUGAUGAGUCUUGGUUUCAGUUUCGGGAUAACCGGAGAAGAUGUUGAUGGGGCUUGAGCAACUGGCAGGAUGGCUCUUACAUUGUUGGAGGCAGCUCUGCGAACAACAGUGACCCAACUAUCACCACCGACGUCUAGAGACAUAAAGCCAAGGAAUCCAUCCUCGACGACAUGACAACAGUUAUCUCUCACCUCCAUCCAGAAGCAGCUCAAGAACGCCUCUUGGAUGCCUACACUAAUUCAACUUCAGUUUGGCUAAAGAACUUGAAGCGGAUCUGCAAUCCCUCUUGGAUGCUUUCAUUGAAAUCCAAGGCCAAGUAUUAACCAUCAUGUUGUAGAAUCUGUAUCAUUAAAAUUAGUAGCUGAUACUUGUUGAGACUAGAUGUUAUUUGUAGAGUGGUUCAAAUAUUUAUAGAAAUU
This 526-nucleotide small RNA is filed under the name Arabidopsis thaliana (thale cress). Its description in RNAcentral is "ATSL064410". The record is from RNAcentral. Lineage: Eukaryota; Viridiplantae; Streptophyta; Magnoliopsida; Brassicales; Brassicaceae.